Long non-coding RNA from Haliotis rubra (blacklip abalone), 263 nucleotides. RefSeq lists it as uncharacterized. The transcript is spliced from 2 exons. The record is from RefSeq and is a predicted model, not a curated record. NCBI's taxonomy places the organism in Eukaryota, Metazoa, Mollusca, Gastropoda, Lepetellida, Haliotidae.
UACUGUGACACUGUCCUGGAAUAUCGGAACUGCCUAGGUCACCAAUAUGUAGAAUGACACAAUGGAUGAGCAACUGCUGUGUAUUUUACAGACGGACCACGCUGAUUGUAUGAUGGUCAUGUAUCGGAUUUCACGACUGAUGCUGCUGACAUUCGUUGGCUUCACAGAACACGUAGGUUCUUUAGUCCUGACAAGUUCCCCCAUGACAGUGACAGACGGAGAACUGUUCACCCUGAUCUGCAGCAGUAACACAACUGUGGGAC